GGAGAUGUACGAUAUCUUCGGCAAAUACGGUGCUAUUAGACAGAUUCGUAUUGGUACGAAUAAGGAUACGCGUGGUACUGCUUUCGUCGUCUAUGAGGAUAUAUAUGAUGCGAAAACCGCCGUCGAUCAUCUCUCCGGCUUCAAUGUCGCUAAUCGAUACUUGAUAGUUCUGUAUUACCAGCAAGCGAAGAUGAGUAAGAAAUUUGACCAGAAGAAGAAGGAGGACGAGAUAACGAAGCUGCAGGAGAAAUAUGGCAUUCCCAAAGAUAAGUGAUAGAGAAACUUCUGUUACUGGUUUCUUUCCUUCAUUAUGUAAAUUGAGCCAGUCUUAGCAAGAAGUGCAUGUCACCUUUGGUGGAAACUGAUCAAGGCACCCCGGCCACCGAAUUAUCAGACAGAGUAGCUUGUAGUGCUGUAUCUUAUUCGAAGUUUUUAACGGAUAGUUUAUGAAAUGAUUGAAUGUUGUCAGAUGUUUCUACCUAUAUCACGAUGUUUUUCUCUCUGUCUCUCCUUGCUGUAGUUACCUUAAGAUUAU
RNAcentral lists this unclassified non-coding RNA (535 nucleotides) under Hevea brasiliensis (rubber tree). Lineage: Eukaryota; Viridiplantae; Streptophyta; Magnoliopsida; Malpighiales; Euphorbiaceae. The record is from RNAcentral.